CUCAACACUAUUCUCCGUGGAAAAUAAAAGAAACCAAAGCAAGAGAGAGAGAAAAAGUGGGAGCUAGAUCAUGCCUUUUUCAAAGAGACUGCAUGUCUGAGGCACUAGACCCUGGAGCUGAAGCUAACUGCCUUCAAUUGCUGGCUUCUGGGCCCACUUGACUCCAGCCUGUGACCAUGAAACUUCACUCGACCAGACCAAGCUUCAGUGCACUCUGCAUGUUUGACAGAAGAUGGCUCUAUGGAGAAUUUCAAAGGCCAUCAGAAAACGCUGCUGAUCUUCCCCUGCUCACCCACUGCUUCCUGCCACGCUGGCCCUCAAAGGAAGAUCUGGGUGGAUAUUUCAGUUGUGCAAGCAUGUUGUGUCUGCCCUGCCAUAGAU
Long non-coding RNA from Eptesicus fuscus (big brown bat), 381 nucleotides. RefSeq lists it as uncharacterized. The transcript has 3 exons. The record is from RefSeq and is a predicted model, not a curated record. NCBI's taxonomy places the organism in Eukaryota, Metazoa, Chordata, Mammalia, Chiroptera, Vespertilionidae.